Molecule: long non-coding RNA, 3982 nt
Organism: Scylla paramamosain (green mud crab)
Lineage: Eukaryota; Metazoa; Arthropoda; Malacostraca; Decapoda; Portunidae
Exons: 10
Source: RefSeq, a predicted model, not a curated record
CGAGAGAGAGAGAAAAAAGAGAGGCCAUGUUUGAGCUAGUUCACUUAUCUGUGGUUCCUUUCCUCCCUUCCCUCUCUCUCUCUCUCUAAUUAGAGCGAAAAUGGAGUAAGCGGAGGAGCUCAAGGAUGAAGCCAACGACUAUUUGAAAAAAUUAAGAAAAUUGAAGCCUUUCUCUCAGACAUGAACAAAGAAGAGCAAUUCUUGACAAACAAACAAACAAACAAACAAACAAGGACAGCGUUGAGUCUCGCAGGUCACGCCAGCCUCUCGGAAACUGUUGCUUGCUUCACCCGGCAAUUGUGAACCAGGGAUCACCAUCAGCCCUCCCAUUGGCCCAGAGCUUCGUGGAUUGUGAUUGGACGGCUGGCUGGCUGACCUGACUUGACCUGACCUCAACUGAGCCAACAUGAUUUACAUUUUCCUCGUUGACACUGGCACCAUGAUGACCUUUGACAUGAACCUGGCACUUAGAGAGUGUUGAGGUGGUGAAGGGUGCAAUACACAGUGUUGUCAAGGUGCCCCCAGACAAGCAGGUGCUGCUGGCCUCUGGGGGUGAAACACUGGACUCCUGCAAGUGGGUGUGUCAUUACUCGGCCGGCACAGACUCGUCCCCCAUCUUUCUGUUCUCCAAGGUGGCCAUUGAGGGAGCAGCCCCCCAACCCCCUCUGUGCAGCCUGGCGGGGACGGCGACCUCAGGGCACAGGUGGAGGGAUGCCUCAACAUGCCAGCCACCUACAACAGUGUGGUGGCGCGGACACAGUUAGCACAGCAGUUUUACGAGCACGCCAGUGAGGUCACCAGAACGUGCCACCAGCUUGUUCACAACCAGCAUCUGCAGCAACAAGGCUGGGCAGUAGUGUUGGGCAACUUGGAAGACGUUGUGGCAGCCUUCAGAGCAAGACAUGAUGCAUUCCAGCAAAACUUUGUAAUCUCAGUGGCCGGGAGGAGAAGGUCGCCCUGCUUCACUUCUAAGUGUGUGUGUGUGUGUGUGUGUCAAGGUUGGAGGAGAGGUGGAGGGAACAUGGAGGAAGGUCUGCGAGGGAAGAGAAGCCUGCAGUUUUGAAGAGGACCUGAAGCUACUGGCAAGGAUUCCAGUCUUCCCUGAACUCUUGGGGAAGACACAAGAGGAAGAGGAAGAGGAGGAAGCUGGGAAGAAGAGGAGGACAAGCACAGCACAGAAGAAAGAGGAGGAGGAAGAGAAGUAAAAGGAGGAGGAGGAGGAGGAAGAAGAGGAAGAGCAUGAGAAGGAGAAGAGGGCAGGAGGAGAAGGAGAAAAAAGAGAAAUGAGUUAAGUGUCACUGCUGGACUGGAUCAGCGCCAAGGACAGCCAAAGUGAUGUCAGACAUUGCCCAACUCUGCUGCAGAGGACUGGCCCAGCUGUGUGUGUGUGUGUGUGUGUGUGUGUGUGUGCACCAGGGUGUCAGGUAUUCACACCCAAUUCUUGCUGCAUAAUUGUGUUUCUGCAGGAUUGAAUCAAGUUUGUAAUCUUGCAUUGUUUAACAAGUUGAGUUCUCAAAUUUUUUUUUAAUCUGGCUCCCCCUCCCCCUGUGUUAGAAUAUUGCAUGUUUCCAAGGCCACAGGGAGGCUUAGACGGGUUCUCAAGUGUUUCCUGUCACUAAUGCAGAAAUGUUGUUAAUCUGUCACUGCAACUGUAAAAACACCCCUGAAAACCUGCGUCACUUCAACUAAAACCUUAUAAAACAAUGUUUCUCCUGUCAGCACUGCAGAAAUGUUGUUAAUCUGUCACUGCAACUGUAAAAACACCCCUGAAAACCUGCGUCACUUCAACUUAAACCUUAUAAAACAAUGUUUUUCCUGCCAGCACUGCAGAAAUGUUGUUAAUCUGUCACUGCAACUGUAAAAACACCCUUGAAAAUCCGCGUCACUUCAACUAAAGCCUUUUAAAAGAAUGUUUUUCCUGUCAGCACUGCAGAAAUGUUGUUAAUCUGUCACUGCAACUGUAAAAACACCCUUGAAAAUCCGCGUCACUUCAACUAAAGCCUUUUAAAAGAAUGUUUUUCCUGUCAGCACUGCAGAAAUGUUGUUAAUCUGUCACUGCAACUGUAAAAACACCCUUGAAAACCCGCGUCACUUCAACUAAAGCCUUUUAAAAGAAUGUUUCUCCUGUCAGUACUGCAGAAAUGUUGUUAAUCUGUCACUGCAACUGUAAAAACACCCUUGAAAACCUGCAUCACUUCAACUACAGCCUUUUAAAAGUAUUUCUCCUGUCAGUAAUGCAAAAAUGUUAAUAUAUCACUGCAACUGUAAAAACACUCUUGAAAACCCACGUCACUUUAACUAGAGCCUUUUAAAACAAUGUUUCUCCUGUCAGUAAUGCAGAAAUGUUGUUAAUCUGUCACUGCAACUGUAAAAACACCCUUGAAAACCUGCAUUAUUUCAGCUACAGCCUUUUAAGAGUGUUUCUCCUGUGAGUAAUGCAGAAAUGUUGAUCUGUCACUGUAACCGUAAAAACACCCUUGAAAACCCACAUCACUUCAACUCCAGCCUUUUAAAAGAAUGUUUCCCCUGUCAGUAAUGCAGAAAUGUUGUUAAUCUGUCACUACAACUGUAAAAACACCCUUGAAAACCCACUUGACUUGAACUAAACACACACACAAACACACAGCACUAGUACUGCUGUUGCCACACAGAUCAGUGAGGGGCUGCUGGAACAAGUGGGGCAAGAGGUCAGUGCUGUGCUUCAAGAGGCAGACCAGCCACAGAUGAAUGCUUGACUCACCGUACUCAUCAUCAACCUGUGUCCUGUACUUUGUGUAUAAUAUCUUUGAGUCUUGAAUCUAAUACACUCCUCACUGUUCACUUGUACAUGUUGAGCCUCACUACAUUCACGCAGGUCGGAACAAAAUUAAGUUUGUCCAUUUUGUGUGUCCAUUCUUUAUUGCGGCCAUUGUACAAGAUGCAGCGUUUGUGUGUGUGUGUGUGUGUGUGUGUGUGUGUGUGUGUGUGUGUGUGUGUGUGUGUGUGUGUGUGUGUGUGUGUGUGUGUGUGUGAGGGGCUCACUUAUUGGUGAGGGGCUGUGGGGAGUCACUGUGGGUUUGUAAACAUACUGUGGGGGGACAUACUGUGGCGCUGUGGCCUGAGGUGAGGUGAGAGAGAGAGAGAGAGAGAGAGAGAGAGAGAGAGGGGGGGGGGGGGGGCAGCAUGAGUGAAAGAAAGCAGAUGUUGUUGAUUGUUGAUGAUGCAGGGGAGAGGUGUUGUUGUUAUUCAGUGUUCUUCAUUGCACGAGAUGUUGUUGUUGUUGUUGUUGUUGUUGUUGUUGUUAUUGACUGGCAACCAAGCCUGGCUGGCGUGUGGGCCUUGUCAUGUGGCCCACAGGUAAUUCUUAGUGGUCAGUCUAUCGGUGAGUACAGCUGAGCGCUGCCUGAUUGCACGAGAGGUAUUGUUCAUAGUUGUUCAUUGUAGGUGAGGGAAGACACAGUAUGUUGAGGGAAGGCAGCAGCUGUGGAGGAGUGAACAGCUGCACCACUGACAGCAGCAGCAGCAGCAGCAGCAGCAGCAGCACUGCUGAAUACUUCUACUGCCACUACUAACUACUGCUGAUGUUUUUCUCCUCCUCCCAGCACAGCAGCAGACUCGGGUACUGUUACAGCUCUGCUCCCUCCUACAGGACACGUUCCCAUCACCUUCACGUCCUGGACACGUGCACAAACUUGUGCCUGGGCAGUCUCACUGCAGCAACUGCCAGUGCUGUGGCUGGGUGGCAGGAGGGAGGGACAAGCUGGCCACCCUCUCUGUCACCACCUGCUGGGGAAAGACCACCAUUAUCAUCAUCAUCUUGGUUUUCCUUUUUUGUUUUCUUUCACAAUUUACAAGGAAUAUUAACAGUUUGUUUUGUUAGUGUUGUCUGUUUGUUAUUAAAUGAUGUGUUGAUUGUGUUGUUGUUGUUGUUGUUUAUGUGUUAGUUGUUGUUGUGUUUUGUAUGUGUGACUGAUGAAUAAAAUAAAGGCAGUCGUGUCACACU